This is a long non-coding RNA of Zalophus californianus (California sea lion), 854 nucleotides long. RefSeq lists it as uncharacterized. Lineage: Eukaryota; Metazoa; Chordata; Mammalia; Carnivora; Otariidae. The record is from RefSeq and is a predicted model, not a curated record. The transcript is spliced from 5 exons.
GAGGGAGCAGCCCUCGCACUACAGAUGGGGGACAGGGCCAGCACCAGGUUGGUGACCGUAGUGGGAGGCCCCAAUGUCGUCCACGCACCACCAAAUGUUGGGGGACCUGCUUAGUUCCACCUGACUGGGUUCCUUCUGGCACAAGAAGUCUAAAGCGUCAUGGGGAUAUGCCCACCUAGAGUCUACAUUCAACCUCUAGACCCUCGAAGUCCUGGGACCCUGGAAUUCUCUAGCCCUGUCAACCUAAGCCUGAGGGGUUCAGGCCUGAACCCAUCCUCCCAAUGGCUGACUGUCCUGCCAACAGUACAUUCCUAGGCUCGAAGGGAAGCCAAAGAAUGUAAGCUCAAUGUGGGCAGAGCUUCAGUCUCCUUUAUUCACUGCUGUGUGCCUAGGAGAGUGCUGGAUUCAUAAAUGUAUGUUAAAGAAGAAAAGAAAGCAAGAAGGAAGGAACGGAUUCUAAAUCUAGCCCUGCAUUCUGACAACAUCCUUGAUUUUCACGAACCAAAAAUGAAAUUACAAAGUCUUUGUUGUCAUAAGAAGAGGCAAUCAAAGAGCAAGAAGCCAUAAAAGCAUUGCUGUGUUCAAGAGAGGGAUCAUGCAGGCAUGCUUGAACCAAAAACGUAAAAAGCCAGCAACUCAUUAAGCAGCAGAAUGACAGUGGUACCAGCGAUUCCCCAAGGGGAGAAUCAUCACUGCUGCUGCUUGGUCCAGCAUCCCCUUCCUGCUUGGAAAUAGGUUUCCAGUGCUCAGGUUUGGAACAUCUUAGUGUGUAUGUCUUGUUAUAAUGGAUGUGAUUCCAUUACAAUCAUACUUCCUCUUUGAGGGGAAAAGUGAAUUACAGGGAGAAAAGGACU